Long non-coding RNA from Peromyscus californicus insignis, 7032 nucleotides. RefSeq lists it as uncharacterized. The record is from RefSeq and is a predicted model, not a curated record. NCBI's taxonomy places the organism in Eukaryota, Metazoa, Chordata, Mammalia, Rodentia, Cricetidae. The transcript is spliced from 3 exons.
UUUGCCUGCUAGAUGAUUCUGCAUCUCAUUAAGCCGACAGUCGGGAUUAAGUAUUACAGCACUCUAGCUGGCUUUGGGAAAACUGCCCAAACUCUGAGCUACCAUUUCCCCAGCUGACUGAAGAUUCCCAAGGUCUUCACGACUGUUAGAAACCUCUCUCAAGAUUCCCUAAAUUCUCUACAUCCUUUCCCCCAACUGAGUGAUAUUCUGAUGAUGGAAAUGACGAAAUAGAACACCGGGGGACAGUGAUAGACCACGAGCAGCUUGUGUAACCAAUUGGAGCUUCCCAAGGGAGACCUGUCACCUUCCAAGGCCUGAGAACUUGACAUCUGCCCUCAACCAUGCUUCACAGUGGAAGGUGUUAACCAUCCUACAUUAGAGAAAACCAAGGCUCAGAGAUGGUCGUUCACCAAAGGACCCAGCUGGGACUCAGUGACAGGACCUAAAACCUAGCCUCUGGAGACAGAAGCACAGCCACGCCCUUAGGCCUGGGCGCAUCUCUGCUGGACACAGCCUCUCUGCCUCGCUCCUGCCUCCUUCGGUCGAUCUCGCACAUAACAGCCAGGGCCUUUCGGAAAUAAACCCAAAGGAGUCACUGCACUGAAGACCUCCAGGGACUUGCCAUCGCUCUUGGGAUGAAAUGCCGAUUCUUCACUUCCCCUCCAGAUAAGGCUCUCACGACUAGCCCCCUUCCUGUCUACCUCCUUCUAUACCUUCCCGAGGCCUCUGCUCCUCCACGCCGGCCAUCUUCCACCUUAACAUGCCAAGUCCUUUGGCUCUGUGCACCUCCUGUUCCUUCUGCCCCAAAGUCCUCCUCCACAUCUUUACUCCGUUGCCCUCUUCCCAGCCUUCUGCUCUGGCCGCCAACUAGAGCCACCACAUCACAGCCAUUUCCCCAUGCCACCCUGCUUUGCUGUCUUCCUUCUCUCUGAAAUGAGGUCUCUGGCAGGUGGGUCUGCACGAGGUGUCGGGACUUUUCUCCACUGGACCUGAGCUCCUUGCAGGCUGGGAUUUGAUGACCACAGAGCUUUUGUCCUUUGGAUGAGUUGGGACCUCAUUUGGCUUUUAUGACUCUGUAGGUGAAGAUGGGGUGAAGUGCCCAAGGCCAGAGCCUGGGAGUGCUAAGAGCACACACCCAGCCUGGCCUGAUGCCAAGACUGUCUCUUCUAAACCUGCUGGGGUGGGGCAGACUUAGAAAGAGGCUAUCAUGAAGAGGACGAGAGAGGUACAGGGUAGUCAGGGCUAAGAGAUUAUCUUGGUUCAACCCUGGAGGCCCUACUGACGGGAGCAAGUGGUCCCCAAAUAGGGAGACCACCAGAAGCCAGUGAUGGGGACCUUCUAUCCACAUGAUGCUUCUCAGAGCGGGGGAGGACCUCAGACUGGGGGAGGGGAAGCUAGGAGCCUAAGUCAUAUAGGCAAUCAGUGGCAAGACAGACUCGAGGGUGAGGGGUCCCCUCCAGGGCCAGAACCCCUUCUCUAACCUGAAGAACACCAGGUGCGGUGGAAUCCAGGGCUGGCAGAAUGCAGCAAAUCCAGGGUUUCCCAGGCCCCAAGGGCAGGGGCAGGGCUACCGAGGAGGAGCCGGGGCUGAAACAAACAGGCCCUGGAAGCAUGUUCUAGGCCAAGCACCGGGCUGGUGACAGGGAGGGGAACGGUAUGCUCUGAAGUGGAACAUCUACGUCAGAGGAUGGUGUGGCAGCCACAUAAGUCAGACACGUAUGGACAUGAACAAGAAUGUCACACUGGGUCCAAACUGAGAGCAACCUAAAUGUCAGUCACAGAUAUUUAAAAGUUUAUCUACUCAACAUGACACAACUCAGCUUAACAAAGAGCAGAUUCUGGAACAGGCACCAGGAGCAAAGUCCCUCGGAGGCACUCAGUAGUGACCAAAGCUGAUGGGAACCAGGCCCCGAGGAGCUUGUAAGAGUUGACACUGAUAAAGUUCAAACCAGGCGACAGAAAGGACAGCCAGCACACCUGGGACAGCCCGCCUGUGAUGAGCCUAUGGGAGCUGGAGAAUGGCAUCCAUCUUGGUCCAAAUGUUAUGCAGAGGAACACUCUGGCAAAACCAGGCUGGGUAGGAUGUGUGUGUGCCCUGGGGAUGUUGCCUAUGUUUAUGGGAGUCCAUGAUCUCUGUCACCGGUAUCAUCUUAUCACUAUUGGGCAGUGACAGUGACAGCAGUUGAGCUCUGUGGAACCCCUGGACUCCCCAACACUGAGCUGGGCUUUGUGGAACCCCUGAACUCCCCAACACUGAGAGGAGGCUUUGUGGAAUCCCUGGACUCCCCAACACUGAGCUGGACUUUGUGGAACCCCUGGACUCCCCAACACUGAGCGGGGCUCCUGAAACAGGAUCUGUUCUAACUCUAACUCUUACAACUACUGUACAAAAAAGUUCCAACAGUUCCACACUAGAGAGGAAAGCAAGCUCAGGGAGAAGGCAUAGAGCAAAAAGUGACACAACGAAAAGGGAUGGAGGCAUAGCUCAAUGAGGAGAGUGCUUGCCUAGCAUGCAUGAGGUCCUGAGUUCAAUCCCCAUCACUGUGUAAACCUGGUGUGAUAAUACCUGUAACCCCAGCACCCAGGAGGCAGAAGUAGGAGAAACAGAGGUUCAAGGCCCCCACUUCAGCUACACAGAAUGAUCCAGGCCAGCCUGGGCUACGUAAGACCAGAUCUCAAUUAAUUAACUAAGUAGUUUUUUAAAAAGUGAUAGAACCAGAUUAGAUCCUGGGUUUCCUGGUCUCCAAGACCGACUCCUGAGACUCAGUGAAUCCCCAGGACUCUGUUUUGCCCUGCCCUGCCCUGCCUUCACAGGCUGUUCACUCUUAAGCCUGCCAGCGCCACCUACGGUCCCUCUUCUGGGGCAGAGGGGACUGGACUACUCACAUGCUCAAUAGACUCACUCUGCAAAAUAACUGCUUAGGAAAUGCGUCCUUCCUCCCUCUCCAUGAGCUGCCUCAACCCUCUGCACCCCUCUUCCCACCACACGUCAUUGUGGUCGUUCCAGUCUUGGACCUCAGCCCAUUCAUCAGGAGCUCCACCGUCUGACUGGGGGGUCCUAGUCAAGCCCAGGACUCCCCCAGCCCAGCUCCUGACCUCAGAGCACCAUGAGGCCUUGAGGUUACAGUCCCCACCCUUGGCUGCAGUUCCCAAGUGACGCAAGCCAGCGUCUGGAUUCAGAGAAUCAUAAAACAUUUCUUUGGAAUAACAAGGGCUUCCACGGCCAUUUCUCCUGUCUCUUCCUGUGCCAGCUCUGCUGAGCGUGCUCUCCUCGCUGACCAUCCAAAACAGGGGCUGUGGGACCCCCUCCUCAGGGCACAAGGCCAGAGCUCAAGGGUCAUAUGAAACAUGCCCCCCAUCCCCUGACAGGGAAAUGGGAAGGCUAGGUACAAACCAGGAACACAAAGCUAGGCUCACUAUGCUUACUGUUCUACAGGGGGUGCCUAAAAAUUGUCAUUGACUGUUCCAGCCAUGUCAUUUGGCAGAUGGGGAAACUGAGGCCUAGGAAGGAAGAGUAUCUUACUGGGGUCUCUGCACUUGGCUUUGGUUCUCCUGGAGCACCUGCAGGGGCAGCAGAUGGGAGGGGGAGGCUCUGGCUCCAGGCAGAAGUAAAUAUUGACAUGAUGUGUUUACAUUGUAACCCGAGUCCUCCUGGCUGCCGCCUACACCCGCCUUUGCAUCCCAGCCAAGAAGGCAAAGGAGCAGGCCAGGAGGUGGGCUUGGAGAAGCCUCUUCUAGGCCAGAGGCUGUGCCCCCUACACACAGGAGCACGUGGUCCAAAAUCCCAGGACACCUCGAGUCAGGGGGCCUGGGUAAUGCCAGGCAGGGAGUGACUGCCACAGGAGCCAGGGAGAUGGGAGGUCUGGAUUGGGUUCCAGACCUAGCUCAGCCACUCUUCAGCAGUGGGACCUGAGAAUAGUGAGCAAAGGCAAUCCUGUGCAAGGAACCAGGCCACCAGCCUUUCAGCCUGGCCAGCGUCCAGUCCCAGCAGCCCCCAGUACCUCUGCCUGUUGCCCAGUGGUCCUGUUCCCAUCCCCAGGGGCUUUCUCAGGAAGGCUAAAUGAAGUGGCAGUUAGGGGCCAAAGGCUUUUGCUACCUAGUUCAAGUCCUCAGCUCCCAAAGUGAACUCCGGACAUCUGCUUUCAUAAGCCCAGACCUAAGAAGCCUUGUCCCUGGGUUUGAAGAGAAGAUUAAAACAUGUAAGGGCCUGGGGGUAGUGGGGGUGGGCAGGAGCCCUCACUCUAAACUUCUGAGUGGCUCCCUACUGUCCUUAGAAUCAAGACCCAAAUCCCUCACAUGACCCUCCCCAGGUGCACCUGCUCUGCCAGACAUCAUCCUUGGCACCCCUCAUGAGCAAACGCCUUCCCAGAGGCCAGCUGCCUCACCUUGCAUGCACAGCUCCCCAUGGUCUGAAGCCCCUCCUGGUCCCACUCACACUUCUGUGGUGGUGGAGACUGAGUUUUGAGUUUCCCUAUGCAUCCCUCAGCUGGUCUCAAACUUUGGGCAAUCCUCUUGCCUCUGUUUCUUCAAGGUCAGGGUUAUAGGCUUGCAUCAUGAAGCCGGGCUCCAUUCAUUCUUCAGGCCAUAGCUUGAAGACUGAAGAAUGUCAUGGUCUCAAGGACCCUCUUCAGAUCCCCAGGCCAGGUUCCCCAUCCCCAUCCCCCCACGUCUCCAUAGCAACAGGAACUGUGUUUGUCAUUUCCUGCCCAUAGGCUUGCCUAUCAGACUGUGGCAGAGACAUGUCAAUCUCAGCCAGCCACAUUGACCACAGCCCCGGGCCUUGUGCUGUCCCAGGCCGACUUGGUGGGUGCGUGAAUUGACAAGGAACGGCCAGGGGCACACAGUCACUGCAAGUGGACGUGACAGAGCAGAUAUGCAAAAACAAUUAGCUGAUGGUCCCCCUCCUUGUAGCCACCGCCUGCUCUCCAAGCCCCCCACUCCCGACAGGAUGGAAGUCUCUGUAAUUCUAUCUUAGAAACUGCAAUCAUCCCUUCCCAGAAGGCAACAGCAGCUUUCUUUACCAAAAACUGGGGCAAUUCAACGAAACAUGAGUAACCAUCACUGCUCGGCUACUUGGCCAAGAACAAGUGUAGGGACAUGAAUAAUCCAGUGUAACCCAGUUUCUAGGACAGGCCCGCUGCCCGGGGCGAGGUGGCCACCACCAUACAAUCAGAACUCCUCACCUCUUAUCUUCAAAUAAUAACACUGUCCCUUGUGUUUUUAAUAAUUUCUGCAUGUUCCCAUGUCGGUACCCUCACAAUGACAUCCUCAAAAGCAGAGCACAUCUGCCCCUCAUGAGAGGGAAGGAAGCAGAGAGAGGGAGGAUGCCUGACCUGAGGUCACACAGCAAACUGAUUUGACAUCGGGAUUCAAAUUUGGGCUCUGGAUCUUGUCUUCAACUCAACCUCUGUACAGUGAAGAUCUCCCUCCAUUCAAUAGUGGUCCAAACUCAGUCGCCCUCCCCCAGUGUGGAAUGUGAAGGAUUGGUUCACAGGAUACCACCAGAACAGUGUGGGAGUCCAGGCUGUCUCCUUCCCUUCAAACCCUCUGCCUCGUUAGUCCUCCUAGUACCUAGCAGCCUCAUGCCGUCUCCAUACCGCCUAGCUGUGCCCCUGGACCACCUCCUUCCUAUCUCUGUGCCUGCCGCUGGGUGGUUUGAGGACAUCUGGAGGUAGGAAGAUAUAAAAAGCCUCUUGGGAGUCCUCAUCCCACAGCUUGGGCUGAGGGUGUGGGGGCGCUUUCGACAGGAGGCCAUUAAGAACCGUGCUGAUUCUCUGCCAAGAGGUUAGGGACCUGGGUGGAGAGCUGGGAGUACCAGGGAGAUCCAGCGCCAACAACAGGAAACAGCCUGUAUAGGGCAAAGGAACCCCAUUAGGAACCUGGGAGGCAGCGGAAAACUGGGCUCUGCUGGAGGGGUGGGAUGCUGGAUUUAAGACUCAGAGUGAAGUAGCCCUGAAUCUCAGCCCCUCUUGGGAAUGAUGGCAAAGGUACCAACUUUAGGGGAACCCAAGGAGGCCUGGCGUCAGUCCUCACCCCACCCACUCAUGGUACAUCAACACUGUGCGUCAGCGGACUACAGUGGGCUCCCCCCCCCCCCCGCCCGCAGCAGUCAAGGCCUCUGCUCUCUGUCCCUACUAUUUCCCAGACCUGCCUUGUCCCCUCUCACCUGCUCCCACAUACCUGAGUGGCAAACAGCCCUAUUCUGGCCCUGUCCUGAGUAUUCUGUGUCCUCACACUUCUGGUCCAAUAUCACACAGGUUCCCCCAACUGGAACAUGUUUUCCUAUUCAGAUUAUAUCGGCUUAAUGACUCUCCCAUCUCUCCAGCCAGAAUGGAACACUUGCUGGGCAUGACAUAGCCACCUCCCUGAAGGACAUGACCCUUGGCCUGAGGAUGUUUAGGGAUGGAUAGAAGCGCCGUCAACACAUGGUUUAUGUCACUUUUUCUUCCCUUGUACAAGGUCUAGCACAGAGCAAGCAUCCCGUAAGUCUCUGUUAAACAAGAAACAGGGCAUUCUCUUUAAAUAUCACUGUCAUCUUCUCCUAAACAUGAUAAAUAUGAAUGGCUCUUCCAGACCAGAAAAUAGGUUGGAUGGUUAGCAGAACUUCCUAAUUCGAGCUCAAGGUUGUAAAAGAAAGUAAAUGGUAUUCCAAACACUCACUUGGGUUUAUCUCAGCCUGAUCCCCACACCAUCCCAGGAGACAGGAACCAUCACCCAUCUCAUUGAUGAGCGUGCACAAUGGGCUUAUAAUACAGCCCGACCAAAGUCCCUGCAGGGAUGUGAAGGAGCUGGGAUUAGACCCCCAAUCUGUUUGGGGACAAAGUCUACAGUCUUUCUGAUGGGCUGGGAAGCUUUUCAGGUGUUAGUUGGAGAUGGCCCAGCCAGCUGACAACAGCAGCAGAGGACCCUCAAGGGUCAUUCCAUGCACCUACAUGGUGGCUCAUAACUGUUGCUCCUGGAACUGGAGCUCCGACACUCUCUUCUGGCCUCAGUAUGUACCGGGCACACAUGUGUUAUUCUUAUAUACAUGCA